GACGAACGCUGGCGGCGUGCUUAACACAUGCAAGUCGAACGGAAAGGCCCUGCUUUUGUUGGGUGCUCGAGUGGCGAACGGGUGAGUAACACGUGAGUAACCUGCCCUUGACUUUGGGAUAACUUCAGGAAACUGGGGCUAAUACCGGAUAGGAGCUCCGGCUGCAUGGUGGGGGUUGGAAAGUUUCGGCGGUUGGGGAUGGACUCGCGGCUUAUCAGCUUGUUGGUGGGGUAGUGGCUUACCAAGGCUUUGAGGGGUAGCCGGCCUGAGAGGGUGACCGGCCACAUGGGGACUGAGAUACGGCCCAGACUCCUCCGGGAGGCAGAAGUGGGGAAUAUUGCACAAUGGGCGGAAGCCUGAUGCAGCAACGCCGCGUGCGGGAUGAGGGCCUUCGGGUUGUAACCCGCUUCCGCCUGUGACGAAGCGUGAGUGACGGUAAUGGGUAAAGAAGCACCGGCUAACUACGUG
RNAcentral lists this ribosomal RNA (468 nucleotides) under uncultured bacterium. RNAcentral's name for it is "partial 16S ribosomal RNA". It matches the Rfam family "Bacterial small subunit ribosomal RNA", at positions 28 to 507 of the family's 1533-position model. The record is from RNAcentral.